Molecule: transfer RNA, 68 nt
Filed under: Peniagone sp. YYH-2013
Lineage: Eukaryota; Metazoa; Echinodermata; Holothuroidea; Elasipodida; Elpidiidae
Description: tRNA-Ile
Rfam family: tRNA
About the family: Transfer RNA (tRNA) molecules are approximately 80 nucleotides in length. Their secondary structure includes four short double-helical elements and three loops (D, anti-codon, and T loops). Further hydrogen bonds mediate the characteristic L-shaped molecular structure. tRNAs have two regions of fundamental functional importance: the anti-codon, which is responsible for specific mRNA codon recognition, and the 3' end, to which the tRNAs corresponding amino acid is attached (by aminoacyl-tRNA synthetases). tRNAs cope with the degeneracy of the genetic code in two manners: having more than one tRNA (with a specific anti-codon) for a particular amino acid; and 'wobble' base-pairing, i.e. permitting non-standard base-pairing at the 3rd anti-codon position.
Source: RNAcentral
GAAUUUGAUCUAAGUUAGAAAAUUUGACCGAUAAUCAAAUUAAAAAGGUUAAAAUCCUUUCAAAUUCU